RNAcentral lists this unclassified non-coding RNA (200 nucleotides) under Sebacinales sp. RNAcentral's name for it is "partial internal transcribed spacer 2". The record is from RNAcentral. Lineage: Eukaryota; Fungi; Basidiomycota; Agaricomycetes; Sebacinales.
UUAAGUUCAGCGGGUGAUCCCACCCGAUUUGAGGUCAAAUUGUCAAAAUGUAGGGGGUUUAGCAUGUGCUUUCGCCAGACAACCUCGACAGAGCGAGCCCGAUGAAGUUUAACAAUCGGUUUAUCGUCACGACGGACACACGCUGAUAUAUUUCGGAUCAGUCACAACUGCGACAAGAUCCAAGUCCAAUCACACAACAU